UUAAGCGACUAAGCGUACACGGUGGAUGCCCUGGCAGUCAGAGGCGAUGAAGGACGUGCUAAUCUGCGAUAAGCGUCGGUAAGGUGAUAUGAACCGUUAUAACCGGCGAUUUCCGAAUGGGGAAACCCAGUGUGUUUCGACACACUAUCAUUAACUGAAUCCAUAGGUUAAUGAGGCGAACCGGGGGAACUGAAACAUCUAAGUACCCCGAGGAAAAGAAAUCAACCGAGAUUCCCCCAGUAGCGGCGAGCGAACGGGGAGCAGCCCAGAGCCUGAAUCAGUGUGUGUGUUAGUGGAAGCGUCUGGAAAGGCGCGCGAUACAGGGUGACAGCCCCGUACACAAAAAUGCACAUGCUGUGAGCUCGAUGAGUAGGGCGGGACACGUGGUAUCCUGUCUGAAUAUGGGGGGACCAUCCUCCAAGGCUAAAUACUCCUGACUGACCGAUAGUGAACCAGUACCGUGAGGGAAAGGCGAAAAGAACCCCGGCGAGGGGAGUGAAAAAGAACCUGAAACCGUGUACGUACAAGCAGUGGGAGCACGCUUAGGCGUGUGACUGCGUACCUUUUGUAUAAUGGGUCAGCGACUUAUAUUCUGUAGCAAGGUUAACCGAAUAGGGGAGCCGAAGGGAAACCGAGUCUUAACUGGGCGUUAAGUUGCAGGGUAUAGACCCGAAACCCGGUGAUCUAGCCAUGGGCAGGUUGAAGGUUGGGUAACACUAACUGGAGGACCGAACCGACUAAUGUUGAAAAAUUAGCGGAUGACUUGUGGCUGGGGGUGAAAGGCCAAUCAAACCGGGAGAUAGCUGGUUCUCCCCGAAAGCUAUUUAGGUAGCGCCUCGUGAAUUCAUCUCCGGGGGUAGAGCACUGUUUCGGCAAGGGGGUCAUCCCGACUUACCAACCCGAUGCAAACUGCGAAUACCGGAGAAUGUUAUCACGGGAGACACACGGCGGGUGCUAACGUCCGUCGUGAAGAGGGAAACAACCCAGACCGCCAGCUAAGGUCCCAAAGUCAUGGUUAAGUGGGAAACGAUGUGGGAAGGCCCAGACAGCCAGGAUGUUGGCUUAGAAGCAGCCAUCAUUUAAAGAAAGCGUAAUAGCUCACUGGUCGAGUCGGCCUGCGCGGAAGAUGUAACGGGGCUAAACCAUGCACCGAAGCUGCGGCAGCGACGCUUAUGCGUUGUUGGGUAGGGGAGCGUUCUGUAAGCCUGUGAAGGUGUACUGUGAGGUAUGCUGGAGGUAUCAGAAGUGCGAAUGCUGACAUAAGUAACGAUAAAGCGGGUGAAAAGCCCGCUCGCCGGAAGACCAAGGGUUCCUGUCCAACGUUAAUCGGGGCAGGGUGAGUCGACCCCUAAGGCGAGGCCGAAAGGCGUAGUCGAUGGGAAACAGGUUAAUAUUCCUGUACUUGGUGUUACUGCGAAGGGGGGACGGAGAAGGCUAUGUUGGCCGGGCGACGGUUGUCCCGGUUUAAGCGUGUAGGCUGGUUUUCCAGGCAAAUCCGGAAAAUCAAGGCUGAGGCGUGAUGACGAGGCACUACGGUGCUGAAGCAACAAAUGCCCUGCUUCCAGGAAAAGCCUCUAAGCAUCAGGUAACAUCAAAUCGUACCCCAAACCGACACAGGUGGUCAGGUAGAGAAUACCAAGGCGCUUGAGAGAACUCGGGUGAAGGAACUAGGCAAAAUGGUGCCGUAACUUCGGGAGAAGGCACGCUGAUAUGUAGGUGAAGCGACUUGCUCGUGGAGCUGAAAUCAGUCGAAGAUACCAGCUGGCUGCAACUGUUUAUUAAAAACACAGCACUGUGCAAACACGAAAGUGGACGUAUACGGUGUGACGCCUGCCCGGUGCCGGAAGGUUAAUUGAUGGGGUCAGCGCAAGCGAAGCUCUUGAUCGAAGCCCCGGUAAACGGCGGCCGUAACUAUAACGGUCCUAAGGUAGCGAAAUUCCUUGUCGGGUAAGUUCCGACCUGCACGAAUGGCGUAAUGAUGGCCAGGCUGUCUCCACCCGAGACUCAGUGAAAUUGAACUCGCUGUGAAGAUGCAGUGUACCCGCGGCAAGACGGAAAGACCCCGUGAACCUUUACUAUAGCUUGACACUGAACAUUGAGCCUUGAUGUGUAGGAUAGGUGGGAGGCUUUGAAGUGUGGACGCCAGUCUGCAUGGAGCCGACCUUGAAAUACCACCCUUUAAUGUUUGAUGUUCUAACGUUGACCCGUAAUCCGGGUUGCGGACAGUGUCUGGUGGGUAGUUUGACUGGGGCGGUCUCCUCCUAAAGAGUAACGGAGGAGCACGAAGGUUGGCUAAUCCUGGUCGGACAUCAGGAGGUUAGUGCAAUGGCAUAAGCCAGCUUGACUGCGAGCGUGACGGCGCGAGCAGGUGCGAAAGCAGGUCAUAGUGAUCCGGUGGUUCUGAAUGGAAGGGCCAUCGCUCAACGGAUAAAAGGUACUCCGGGGAUAACAGGCUGAUACCGCCCAAGAGUUCAUAUCGACGGCGGUGUUUGGCACCUCGAUGUCGGCUCAUCACAUCCUGGGGCUGAAGUAGGUCCCAAGGGUAUGGCUGUUCGCCAUUUAAAGUGGUACGCGAGCUGGGUUUAGAACGUCGUGAGACAGUUCGGUCCCUAUCUGCCGUGGGCGCUGGAGAACUGAGGGGGGCUGCUCCUAGUACGAGAGGACCGGAGUGGACGCAUCACUGGUGUUCGGGUUGUCAUGCCAAUGGCACUGCCCGGUAGCUAAAUGCGGAAGAGAUAAGUGCUGAAAGCAUCUAAGCACGAAACUUGCCCCGAGAUGAGUUCUCCCUGACUCCUUGAGAGUCCUGAAGGAACGUUGAAGACGACGACGUUGAUAGGCCGGGUGUGUAAGCGCAGCGAUGCGUUGAGCUAACCGGUACUAAUGAACCGUGAGGCUUAACCUU
RNAcentral lists this ribosomal RNA (2902 nucleotides) under Escherichia coli O104:H4 str. E92/11. RNAcentral's name for it is "bacterial LSU rRNA". It matches the Rfam family "Bacterial large subunit ribosomal RNA". Lineage: Bacteria; Pseudomonadati; Pseudomonadota; Gammaproteobacteria; Enterobacterales; Enterobacteriaceae. RNAcentral also lists the same sequence under 1 other name. The record is from RNAcentral.